AUGGCUCAGGACGAACGCUGGCGGCGUGCCUAAUACAUGCAAGUCGAACGGUCUUUCUAUGGAAGCUUGCUUCCACUGAGAAGAUAGUGGCGAACGGGUGAGUAACACGUGGGUAAUCUGCCCAUAAGAGGGGGGAUAACAUCCGGAAACGGGUGCUAAUACCGCAUAGUUUUCUUGAUCGCAUGAUCGGGAAAGGAAAGACGGCCUUUGUGCUGUCGCUUAUGGAUGGACCCGCGGCGUAUUAGUUAGUUGGUGAGGUAACGGCUCACCAAGACGAUGAUACGUAGCCGACCUGAGAGGGUGAUCGGCCACAUUGGGACUGAGACACGGCCCAAACUCCUACGGGAGGCAGCAGUAGGGAAUCUUCCGCAAUGGACGAAAGUCUGACGGAGCAACGCCGCGUGAGUGAAAGAAGGUUUUCGGAUCGUAAAACUCUGUUGUCAGAGAAGAACAAGUCGGAGAGUAACUGCUCCGGCCUUGACGGUAUCUGACCAGAAAGCCACGGCUAACUACGUGCCAGCCGCCGC
This 527-nucleotide ribosomal RNA is filed under the name uncultured bacterium. RNAcentral describes it as "bacterial SSU rRNA". It matches the Rfam family "Bacterial small subunit ribosomal RNA", at positions 19 to 518 of the family's 1533-position model. The record is from RNAcentral.